GCCUGGCUGGCUCCGUAGGUGGAGCAUGCGACUCCUGAUCUUGGGGUUGUGGGUUCAAGUCCCACACUGGGUG
RNAcentral lists this transfer RNA (73 nucleotides) under Ailuropoda melanoleuca (giant panda). It matches the Rfam family "tRNA". Rfam says of the family: Transfer RNA (tRNA) molecules are approximately 80 nucleotides in length. Their secondary structure includes four short double-helical elements and three loops (D, anti-codon, and T loops). The record is from Rfam by way of RNAcentral. Lineage: Eukaryota; Metazoa; Chordata; Mammalia; Carnivora; Ursidae.